UCUGACCUUUAUUACACUCUACAGCUAUUCUUUCUGGCGUUCGAGGGUGUCACAAUCCCAGAAAUGCCAACUGCCUCAGUGACAGUAACCUGGGCAACCAUGGCCAGAGUUGGUGGGGUUAAGGCCCUGGAAAGGAGGACGGGGAAAGGGAAAACAAGAGCUUUUUGUUUUGUUCUGGUUUGUCUGCUUUCUAACAAUCCAAUGCUCAGCUCUACAGUCAGGGAAGAUGAUCAGGACAGACUUCAUAGUGUCCUUGUGAAAAUUUAAUGAGAAGACAUUGCAAAACAUCUAGAGCAAUGGCACAGCAGAUGAUGAAAGGGAUGGGAAACUCCUGGGGAUAGAAGCAGAGGAAUGACAUAACUACAGACAUGCUUGAGAAAGAAUGAGUCCGGCGGACAUGAAGGAGACUGCAGAAAGGCCACUGCAACCCAGAGGGGAGGGGUGGUGACAGUUCCAAUCAGGUCAGUUACAGAAGCUGGGAUAAGAAGGAAGGCAUGGGUUCCAGAGCUUUCCGAAGGAGUCAUUGCAGGACUUCAAUUGCAAGAAUAUCAGGGUUAGGUUGGGGCAGAAAGCACAUCCAAAAAGGAAGACAAAAAUGACAUGGAAAAAACGAUGGCAUAUUGGGCUUUCUAACAGACUGCUUGAUGCUAAAACAGUCUGUCUCACAAUUUUUUUUUAAGAUCACAAACCUCAAAACUAGAGAUUUAUAUGUUUAGAA
Molecule: long non-coding RNA, 718 nt
Filed under: Homo sapiens (human)
Lineage: Eukaryota; Metazoa; Chordata; Mammalia; Primates; Hominidae
Description: HSALNT0328420
Source: RNAcentral